CAAAACUUUCAACAACGGAUCUCUUGGCUCUGGCAUCGAUGAAGAACGCAGCGAAACGCGAUAAGUAAUGUGAAUUGCAGAAUCCAGUGAAUCAUCGAAUCUUUGAACGCACAUUGCGCCCGCCAGCAUUCUGGCGGGCAUGCCUGUUCGAGCGUCA
RNAcentral lists this ribosomal RNA (157 nucleotides) under Beauveria bassiana. RNAcentral describes it as "5.8S ribosomal RNA". It matches the Rfam family "5.8S ribosomal RNA". From Rfam's summary of the family: 5.8S ribosomal RNA (5.8S rRNA) is a component of the large subunit of the eukaryotic ribosome. It is transcribed by RNA polymerase I as part of the 45S precursor that also contains 18S and 28S rRNA. The record is from RNAcentral. Lineage: Eukaryota; Fungi; Ascomycota; Sordariomycetes; Hypocreales; Cordycipitaceae.